Molecule: ribosomal RNA, 253 nt
Filed under: uncultured bacterium
Lineage: Bacteria
Description: partial 16S ribosomal RNA
Rfam family: Bacterial small subunit ribosomal RNA
Source: RNAcentral
UACAGAGGGUGCGAGCGUUAAUCGGAAUUACUGGGCGUAAAGGGUGCGUAGGUGGAAAAAUAAGUCAGGUGUGAAAUCCCCGAGCUUGACUUGGGAAUUGCGCUUGAUACUGUUUAUCUAGAGUGUUGUAGAGGAAAGUGGAAUUUCCGGUGUAGCGGUGAAAUGCGUAGAUAUCGGAAGGAACACCAGUGGCGAAGGCGGCUUUCUGGACAAACACUGACACUGAGGCACGAAAGCGUGGGUAGCAAACAGG